UGGGGAAUAUUGCACAAUGGGCGCAAGCCUGAUGCAGCCAUGCCGCGUGUAUGAAGAAGGCCUUCGGGUUGUAAAGUACUUUCAGUCGGGAGGAAGGUGGUAAGGUUAAUAACCUUGGCAAUUGACGUUACCGACAGAAGAAGCACCGGCUAACUCCGUGCCAGCAGCCGCGGUAAUACGGAGGGUGCAAGCGUUAAUCGGAAUUACUGGGCGUAAAGCGCACGCAGGCGGUUUGUUAAGUCAGAUGUGAAAUCCCCGGGCUCAACCUGGGAACUGCAUCUGAUACUGGCAAGCUUGAGUCUCGUAGAGGGGGGUAGAAUUCCAGGUGUAGCGGUGAAAUGCGUAGAGAUCUGGAGGAAUACCGGUGGCGAAUGCGGCCCCCUGGACAAAGACUGACGCUCAGGUGCGAAAGCGUGGGGAGCAAACAGG
Molecule: ribosomal RNA, 429 nt
Filed under: Chloroflexota bacterium
Lineage: Bacteria; Bacillati; Chloroflexota
Description: Chloroflexi bacterium partial 16S ribosomal RNA
Rfam family: Bacterial small subunit ribosomal RNA
Source: RNAcentral